UGGGGAAUAUUGCACAAUGGGCGCAAGCCUGAUGCAGCCAUGCCGCGUGUAUGAAGAAGGCCUUCGGGUUGUAAAGUACUUUCAGCGGGGAGGAAGGUGUUGAGGUUAAUAACCUCAGCAAUUGACGUUACCCGCAGAAGAAGCACCGGCUAACUCCGUGCCAGCAGCCGCGGUAAUACGGAGGGUGCAAGCGUUAAUCGGAAUUACUGGGCGUAAAGCGCACGCAGGCGGUCUGUCAAGUCGGAUGUGAAAUCCCCGGGCUCAACCUGGGAACUGCAUUCGAAACUGGCAGGCUAGAGUCUUGUAGAGGGGGGUAGAAUUCCAGUUGUAGCGGUGAAAUGCGUAGAGAUCUGGAGGAAUACCGGUUGCGAAGGCGGCCCCCUGGACAAAGACUGACGCUCAGGUGCGAAAGCGUGGGGAGCAAACA
Molecule: ribosomal RNA, 427 nt
Filed under: uncultured bacterium
Lineage: Bacteria
Description: partial 16S ribosomal RNA
Rfam family: Bacterial small subunit ribosomal RNA
Source: RNAcentral